Molecule: long non-coding RNA, 1817 nt
Organism: Carassius carassius (crucian carp)
Lineage: Eukaryota; Metazoa; Chordata; Actinopteri; Cypriniformes; Cyprinidae
Exons: 2
Source: RefSeq, a predicted model, not a curated record
UUUGUAAAUCGAAUCAAAUCCUAUUUUGUUCACUAAAACAGACUCACAAGAACAACUAGUUCACUCAUCCAGUCUUUGAGUUCAACUCAUCGACUUACUGAUUUGGUCUCUGCAGUUCCAGGAUGCAUACGAUUACUUUUGUUGCCAUUUUCAAAGCUUGAUCAACCUACUGUGAACUGAUAUAGUAUAGGAAAUAGCAAUGAGAAUAUUUACCAAAAGUUUCCUUUUUGUGUUCCAUGAAAAAAAUAAAAUAAAUAACAGCAUACAGGUUAAGAACAACAUGAGCGUGAGUAAAUAAUGACAGAAUAUUCAGUUUUGAAUCAACUGAUCUUCAUAAAUAGCUUCAUGUAAUUUGCUAUUUACAGACAUCACAGAACUAGGCUGAUGUUCUGCCAGAUCUGCACAGAUGCCACGAGCAGAACCUGCUUGUAGUGCACCCUUUGUGGUCAGUUUUUCCCAUUUAUAUGUGAAAGGUCUAAAUUGUGCUGUUACUUUCAACCUGCGCAUAGUUUAACAUUUCUUUAGUUUUCUGCUAUAGUUCACACGUAAAAUGUGGAGUUAUUUUAUCAUCUCAUUUCCAGAGUUUUGUUUACUGAGAAAAAUGUAUUUAAGUUCUUUAAAUACAAAACAUGUUUAAAUUGAUUUUGGAAGGCAUUGUAUGUGCUUUUAUAACUCAGGCUAAUCAAAUAUAUUGUUUGAUUUAAUAAUUUAUUUAGUACAAUUUGAAUGCUUUGUUUUACCGCAGUAGAAUGAAGUGCCAUAAUUAUGAUGAUAAGCCUUUGUUAUUAUGCGAACACACAGAUACACCUAAGACAAUGGGACCAAAAACUGUUGAACAAUGAGCCAGAGGGAAGGACUUGAUGCUGAAAUUCAUAUUAGAUAUAUAUAUUUGUAGAUAUUGGUGUAGAGAAAAAAUGGUACAGUAGAAAGUAUUUAGCUUUCUCUUAUUUUGAAAAUGAGCUGGAGAAGAAAAAAAAACAAUUAAAACAUUUACUUUUGUAUUAUGACAUGCAGAAAUAUAAAGUAUUUAAUAUGAUAUAUUUAGACCGAUUUGAAUGGCCUACACUUUAUGUGCCUCCACACACACAGAACAGGACAUAAGCUAAAUCAGUAAGUUUAAAACAUAAAUGAGGAGUAAUGAUUUCACUUGAGAAGUCCUGCAUGUUUAUUAUGUGUAUAUAUGAUUAGUGGGCCUAUACAUGAUGUAGUCAAUCUUAACACUGUGCUAAGCAAUGUGCCAUUCUUUUAUAUGUAAAGAUAUUGCCUUACUGAGAAAUAUCAAGUAUUAUACAACUCUUCUGCUGCUGCCAUUGCUGUGAAACCAGCAUGUUCAUGUUUUAAUAGAAAUGUCUUAAGCUGUCAUGAUAUGUGGUGUAUGAUAUGUAUUUUGUUACAUAUAAUGUACUUCUGCUGUUUGUUGCGUUUCCUGAAGUGCUGCUCCUCUCUAUUACCUUCUCAUGUAGCAUUUUCCUAUGAAUCUCCAUCUUUUGCAAAAUUCUUAAAAUGCAUAGGCAGUUAAAUGUCUGUACAAGCAAGUUGAUAAAUGUACAUGAUAUAUAGACAUGCUAUUACAUUUAAUCUUCUGUAUGGUUAGUCUUGUAUGUGACUAGAUAUUUUUGGAGCAGUGUAUUUGCCUUACGGAUGCACACCGCUGAGCAUUACUGAGACAUUAUAAAGAACUUGAUUCAGGUUUGUUAUUGAAACAUUUGUACAGUUUGCUAUUGGAAUUGGUUGAAUUCAUCAAACCUCAAAUCACUGUAAUUUUCAGCAUUUGCCUUGUUCUGUUUUCUUCAGUUUAAUAAAGAUGGCCUCAAACU